GACAGCGGCCUGCUUGGGGGACAUACUUCUUUAUAUGCCCAUAUGAACACGAGCAACUAUGGAAUGUAAAGAAGUAUGUAUCCCAGGUUGGGAGAAAUGAC
This is a microRNA precursor of Oryzias sinensis (Chinese medaka), 101 nucleotides long. Ensembl annotates it as microRNA 1-1. NCBI's taxonomy places the organism in Eukaryota, Metazoa, Chordata, Actinopteri, Beloniformes, Adrianichthyidae. The record is from Ensembl.